Molecule: long non-coding RNA, 1022 nt
Organism: Labeo rohita (rohu)
Lineage: Eukaryota; Metazoa; Chordata; Actinopteri; Cypriniformes; Cyprinidae
Exons: 4
Source: RefSeq, a predicted model, not a curated record
GUGGUGUCGUGCCGGAUCAGUACAGAUUUCCUUUAAAAUCACUGUGUGUUUCUGUUUUCGCGCACUUUUAAGUGCUUGCCAGUGCUGAAGGAAGGAUGGUGUCGUGCCUAAUCAAUCUAGCUGUACUAUAAAAUAACUGGUUGUUUAUGAUGUCGUCAUGCACUUUGUGUUGCUUUUCAAAGCCGAUGCGAAGGAGUGCUGUCGUGCCUGAACAAAUUUUCCUUUAAAAUCACUGGUUCCACCUUCUAUAGAGAGCAUGUUGCUGCGAAUUCACAUUUCCCCUACCAACAUCAGGAGGGUGGAGCUGCAUGAAAGGCCUGAGUCUGUGGACCAUUUGAAGUCUUUCCUUAAAGAGACAUUACAGCUGAAAUCUGAAUUCUCACUACAAUUUGAAGACCCAGACUUUAACAACGAACUUUGUAACUUUGACAUUGGUACAUCCAAGGAUUUAGGUCAAGAUUGGAUUACAGGGAUAUCAGUGUAAUUGCUGUUUUGAUGUUAAUGUUCUGACAAGAAAAAAGUACACUGUAUUAAUAGCUGCUGAGUAAGGUUUGUGUUUACUCAGAUGUUCCCAGUUAUUUUGGUUUCUUGGAUAUAAUGGUAAAUUGUUUUUAAGAAACCUUUAGGUUUCAUGUUAAAAUAUGCAGAAUAGUAGUUCUCACAGAACUUUUACUUUAAAAAUCAACCAAAAAUGUUAAGUACAUUUACAAAUGUGCUUCAUGCUACAGGACAGCUAACGUUGUACGUUAUAAUUACCACCUGUUUUGUGGAUUUCUUUAACAUGCAUUGGUAUGUGCAAUGCAUUGAGUUUAGUGUAAAAUGUUAAGAAGUUAAAAGGCAAUACUUGAUACUGUUAUGUCAUUGCAUAUAUUGUGCAUUGGACACAAAAUGUUUAAAUAAAAAAAAAAAAGUUAUUUGACCCUUGUUAUGUUCUCUUCUUUAUUAAGACUAUGUAAAUAAUGAAUCAGUGUAGGCCUAUAGAUAAUAGGCCUAUUUGUGUUGAGUAAACAAAAAAUAUUUAG